This 374-nucleotide ribosomal RNA is filed under the name uncultured bacterium. Its description in RNAcentral is "bacterial SSU rRNA". It matches the Rfam family "Bacterial small subunit ribosomal RNA", at positions 523 to 898 of the family's 1533-position model. The record is from RNAcentral.
AUACGUAGGGGACGAGCGUUGUCCGGAAUUACUGGGCGUAGAGGGCGCGCAGGCUGUGCUGCAAGUCAGCUGUUAAAUGUCUGGGCUUAACCCGGGCAUGCGGUUGAGACUGCAGUGCUGGAGUGCUGUAGAGGCAAGUGGAAUUCCCAGUGUAGCGGUGAAAUGCGUAGAUAUUGGGAAGAACACCGGUGGCGAAGGCGACUUGCUGGGCAGCAACUGACGCUGAGGCGCGAAAGCCAGGGGAGCAAACGGGAUUAGAUACCCCGGUAGUCCUGGCCGUAAACGAUGAAUGCUAGGUGUGGGUGUAGAGAUACAUUCGUGCCGGAGUUAACGCGAUAAGCAUUCCGCCUGGGGAGUACGGUCGCAAGAUUGAA